Long non-coding RNA from Bos grunniens (domestic yak), 1661 nucleotides. The record is from Ensembl. Lineage: Eukaryota; Metazoa; Chordata; Mammalia; Artiodactyla; Bovidae.
CAAAGUAUGCAGUCAUCAGACCCAGGGUUCGAAUCUCAGCUCCCACUGUGUGUCUUUGAGAAGAAACUUGACAUCUCUGAGCCUCCUUGCCCCAAAUGAAAAUGAUGGGUACCCAGAGAACAGCCUUCAGUGGGUAUGCGAUAAUUCGCAUAAAGGGCUCAGGUUACCUAAUAGAUGUAGUUAUUAUUGACUUUGAGACUGUGCGCCUUCUUCUGAGUUGGCUUAUUGUCAUUCUGCACCAGAUAGCACCCAUUGGCCCCAUUCUAAAUUCACAGUCUCUGAACCCAGUGGAAAACUUGUGUGUGUUAGUUGCUCAGUCGUGUCUGACUCUUUGCAACCCCAUGGACUGAAGUCCGCCAGGCUCCUCUGUCCAUGGACUUCUCUAGGCAAGAAUAUUGGAGUAGGUUGCCAUUUCCUUCCCCAGGGGAUCUUCCCAACCCAGGGAUUGAACCCUGGUCUCCUGCACUGCAGGCAGAUUCUUUACCAUCUAAGUCACCAGGGAAGUCCACCUGUGGAGUACUCAGUAUCUGCAUUAACCAUACAAUGCAAUUCCACCCAAGAGACUGAUUCAACCUCCGUUUUCUCCUCCAGCCCCCGCAACAUGGUUAUAGUCGACCUUCCUACCUCCUGCUUGGUGAAACAGCUAUGAUUCUUGAGGCUGGGCUCUCCCAAUUCCUCUGACAGGUGAACAGAAUUCUGUUUCCUCUCUGGUCUUACAGAGAAUGGCUUACAUAUCACACACAUCACAGGAAUGCACCUAGCUCACACCUGUCUCCCUCAGAGCCUCUCCCUCAGGUUCGCAGGGGCCAGCCCAGGACACAACAACAGAGACAAGAUAUGUCUACAGUGACAUUUCUCAACCUCAGCACUGGUGAUAUUUGGGAGCAGAUCAUGCUUUGGCUGUCCUUUUCAUUGCACAAUAUUUAGCAGCAUCCCUGGCCUCACCCACCAGAUACCAGGAGCAUUCCCUCCCCACUGUAAGUUAUGACAAUCAAAACUGCUCCAGAUAUAUCCAAAUAUCCACAAUGAGAGAGAAUGGCCCUGGGCUAAGAACUACUGACCUAAAAGCUACAAAGGGCACCCAGGCUAAAUGAAAAUCAGGGACCCAGAGUGGACAAACUGAGAAGACCACCAGAAACAUUCCAAAACUAAGAUCCUCUUGUAUUAUCCAUCUCUCCAGCACUGACCUCAUCUUCAGGCUGAACAGCGCUACCCACAAUUGAAUUAUCCUUCCCUCCUACCCUUUCCCUGCUGGUCCUCCUCUGCUGGAGUUGCCUCUUCCAAGAAACACCCAGCAAGGAAGGGUAGAAGAAGUUCUGCUUGUUGCUGUCAGCGGCAUCCACAGGCAGGUGUGGGGUCAGACCUAAGGGUUCCUGCACCUGAUACAGUGUGCUUUAUCCCUGCUGAAGGCUGCCAAGCAGGCUGUCCCCAAGAGCCUUGCAUGAAACCAGUCUGAAUGGGCAGUCCUCGGGGUCUGAGGGGCUGGGAGGGACCUCAGGAGGCCUUCUGGGAUCUGCCAUCUAUCUCCUCCUUCAACUAUCCACACACAACAGACUCCUUGCUGUCUCUCUCUGCCCAGGGAGGUUGCAUCCCGUCCUGAGGGCUGAGGAGCUCCCAGUAUUGAGGGAUGCAGGGCUGGGUACAUAUGCUCUCAAUCUCUU